RNAcentral lists this ribosomal RNA (433 nucleotides) under uncultured bacterium. RNAcentral's name for it is "partial 16S ribosomal RNA". It matches the Rfam family "Bacterial small subunit ribosomal RNA", at positions 29 to 507 of the family's 1533-position model. The record is from RNAcentral.
AACGAACGCUGGCGGCAUGCCUAACACAUGCAGGUCGAACGAGACCUUCGGGUCUAGUGGCGAACGGGUGCGUAACGCGUGGGAACCUGCCCUUAGGUUCGGAAUAACUCCCCGAAAGGGGUGCUAAUACCGGAUAAUGUCUGCGGACCAAAGAUUUAUCGCCUUUGGAUGGGCCCGCGUUGGAUUAGCUAGUUGGUAGGGUAAAAGCCUACCAAGGCGACGAUCCAUAGCUGGUCUGAGAGGAUGAUCAGCCACACUGGGACUGAGACACGGCCCAGACUCCUACGGGAGGCAGCAGUGGGGAAUAUUGGACAAUGGGCGAAAGCCUGAUCCAGCAAUGCCGCGUGAGUGAUGAAGGCCUUAGGGUUGUAAAGCUCUUUUACCCGGGAUGAUAAUGACAGUACCGGGAGAAUAAGCUCCGGCUAACUCCGUG